Molecule: ribosomal RNA, 436 nt
Filed under: uncultured bacterium
Lineage: Bacteria
Description: bacterial SSU rRNA
Rfam family: Bacterial small subunit ribosomal RNA
Source: RNAcentral
GUAUAAACGCUGGCGGCGUGCCUUAUGCAUGCAAGUCGAACGCACCGCAAGGUGAGUGGCGAACGGGUGAGUAACACGUAGGAACCUGCUCUGGAGUGGGGGAUAACUCCUCGAAAGAGGGGCUAAUACCGCAUACGGUCUACGGACCAAAGCUUUACGCGCUCUGGGAGGGGCCUGCGGCGGAUUAGCUAGUUGGUGGGGUAACGGCCUACCAAGGCGACGAUCCGUAGCUGGUCUGAGAGGAUGGUCAGCCACACUGGGACUGAGACACGGCCCAGACUCCUACGGGAGGCAGCAGCAAGGAAUUUUGCACAAUGGGCGAAAGCCUGAUGCAGCAACGCCGCGUGGGGGAUGAAGGCCUUCGGGUUGUAAACCCCUUUUGCGAGGAAAGAAAAUCUGACGGUACCUCGCGAAUAAGCCACGGCUAACUACGUGC